RNAcentral lists this transfer RNA (70 nucleotides) under Amicula sp. isolate GU52X-4 cfCalB7. RNAcentral describes it as "tRNA-Cys". The stretch from base 6 to 65 matches the Rfam family "tRNA", at positions 7 to 64 of the family's 71-position model. From Rfam's summary of the family: Transfer RNA (tRNA) molecules are approximately 80 nucleotides in length. Their secondary structure includes four short double-helical elements and three loops (D, anti-codon, and T loops). Further hydrogen bonds mediate the characteristic L-shaped molecular structure. tRNAs have two regions of fundamental functional importance: the anti-codon, which is responsible for specific mRNA codon recognition, and the 3' end, to which the tRNAs corresponding amino acid is attached (by aminoacyl-tRNA synthetases). tRNAs cope with the degeneracy of the genetic code in two manners: having more than one tRNA (with a specific anti-codon) for a particular amino acid; and 'wobble' base-pairing, i.e. permitting non-standard base-pairing at the 3rd anti-codon position. Lineage: Eukaryota; Bacillariophyta; Bacillariophyceae; Diploneidales; Diploneidaceae. The record is from RNAcentral.
GCUAAAUAACAUAAUUGGAAAAUGUGUAAAAUUGCAAAUUUUAAAAUAUUGGUUCAACUCCGAUUGGGUG